GUUGAUCAUCACGAAAUGACGAAAGAUAAAGGGAUUUUUUUUACCAGGUAGCAAAUUAAAUAUAUUGUUUUUAGACUACAUUAUUAUUGCAUUUGUGUUGAAAAAUUAAUAUAGUUUAAAGACUUUUUCUCAGAUCGCACGCCUACUCAGAAAAAAUGGAAAAAUGUGGAACAAUCGAACAAAGAUAGUGACGAUGGUAAUGAAUAUUUGCGUUCAAUUAUUUGUGUUCAUAUUCUAAAUACUUAUUGGUUUAUUCGAUUUAUAUUUGUGUUCAUAUUCUAAAUAUUUAUUGGUUUAUUCGAUUUAAUAUGUGUUUGAGAUUUAUUAAUGGUCUGAAUUAUUGACGUAUUAAAGUUCAACAUUUAGUGUAUUCAUAUUCCCUUCAAUUUUUGAUCAAAUAGCAAUUUGUUAUCUUCUCCAGAUCACUCAAUUCAUGGCUCUAAUCCUUCUCCAUCCACGAGGGAUCGAUGAAACAUUUGUUGUAUCUUCUCUAGAUCGCUUAAUCCAUGUCAAAUUUGGAUGAAACAAUUUGGUAUCUUCUCCAGAUCACUCAAACCAUCCACUCGCGACAAAUCUCCAUAUCAAUAUGCAAAUGCCCUAAUAACAGUCAAGGUACGUUCUUCAUUGUCUCUAUGCUGAUAAAUUCUCCCAAUAUUUCAUCUCAACUUAAUAUAUUUCUAAAAUCAUACAAACACCUUCAUCAUUUGUAUAAAUUGAAUGAAUUAGGAAAUGAAGAACAAUCUACGACGCCUAACCCAUACCAGCCAUAACUCUCCCUUUAGGCCACUCACGUUAGCACGCCGACGCCAGCAAGAGGAAAACAACCAUUUGCCAACGCCUAGGCCAACAUUUUCAGUUUCCGGUUAGUUUGAGUAUCGUACUUUCUUCUUGCCUAAUUCAGUUUGGUGUAAUUUUUCUAAUUCGAUUCCAAUUUUAUGUGUGCUCAUCUAUUUGUUUAUGGUUUGACACUAACUAA
Molecule: long non-coding RNA, 976 nt
Filed under: Salvia miltiorrhiza (redroot sage)
Lineage: Eukaryota; Viridiplantae; Streptophyta; Magnoliopsida; Lamiales; Lamiaceae
Description: long non-coding RNA (SMIL_LNC008676)
Source: RNAcentral